This 450-nucleotide ribosomal RNA is filed under the name uncultured organism. RNAcentral's name for it is "partial 16S ribosomal RNA". It matches the Rfam family "Bacterial small subunit ribosomal RNA", at positions 333 to 799 of the family's 1533-position model. The record is from RNAcentral.
UCACUCCUACGGGAGGCAGCAGUGGGGAAUAUUGGACAAUGGGCGCAAGCCUGAUCCAGCCAUGCCGCGUGAGUGAUGAAGGCCCUAGGGUUGUAAAGCUCUUUCACCGGUGAAGAUAAUGACGGUAACCGGAGAAGAAGCCCCGGCUAACUUCGUGCCAGCAGCCGCGGUAAUACGAAGGGGGCUAGCGUUGUUCGGAUUUACUGGGCGUAAAGCGCACGUAGGCGGACUAUUAAGUCAGGGGUGAAAUCCCGGGGCUCAACCCCGGAACUGCCUUUGAUACUGGUAGUCUUGAGUUCGAGAGAGGUGAGUGGAAUUCCGAGUGUAGAGGUGAAAUUCGUAGAUAUUCGGAGGAACACCAGUGGCGAAGGCGGCUCACUGGCUCGAUACUGACGCUGAGGUGCGAAAGCGUGGGGAGCAAACAGGAUUAGAUACCCUUGUAGUCCCAUG